This is a long non-coding RNA of Lolium rigidum, 249 nucleotides long. RefSeq lists it as uncharacterized. The record is from RefSeq and is a predicted model, not a curated record. The transcript has 3 exons. NCBI's taxonomy places the organism in Eukaryota, Viridiplantae, Streptophyta, Magnoliopsida, Poales, Poaceae.
CCUCGCUGGCAAGGCCAAGGCGUACGUGAAUGAGUCACACCGACGCUUCUGCGGCGCACAUCAUGGUGUUCAGCCACUUCAGGCCAGGGGACCUUGAACAAUGGUAUAUCUGUGCUGAGAGGACACUGCACCAAGUUAAUGGAAAAAGCGAAGUUGUCUGUGCACCAAGAGGCUCAGCAGAUUGAGUGUUACAUUUUCUGCUGUAGAUGCAGUGCGAGUGAGCACUUGAAGGUCAGCUCUGACCUGGUC